GGAGACAUUCCCUAGGCAGAGCAUGCAGGCUCCCAAGUCAAGCUCCAGGCUGCCUCCUCGACGUCUCAUCCGAGAGAAUGGGCUCUGAUCUCUCUGCCUUCUCCACAGCCUGAUCCAGGCUGACAGUUUCCAUUCAUGCAGUCUGGUGAUGAAGACUAGGCUUCUCCCCCCUCUUGGAAGUGUCAGUUCCUCUCUUGCUUCCUCGGGCAUAGCUGGUUGAAUUGGUCUUGUCACCAAUGGAUGCCUGCUGCACAAGACCUCAGACAUUCACCUUCAAGGUGCUUUCUUCCUCUUGGCCUCAUUUUGCAGUGUUUUAGGCAUUGAGGGCUGCAAAGGCAGGAUAGUCUCUGUACUCGGGUCCAGGAAUAUCUCUAAGGCUGCACUGUGCAGUGUCUCAGACUGCUGAACAGCUUUCUGCCCCAGCUGCCAGUCUUCAUCCUUGGCUCCCAGCUCUGGCUGAACUGGCGGAGCCCGCGCUAGAGUCCUGUAUGAUCCGUAUGACUGGUGUGAUGGUGGAAUCUGCUGUUGCUUCCCAGGGACUCUCAAGGACUCAGUGACAUGUCCACAGGCUCUCAUCCAGCCCAGAAACCGCAGGCAAACUGAAAGAACACCACUGGCUAUUCCAAACAGAAGGCCUCCCGUGGAUCAGACCCGUGGAGCUCAUGAAAACAAAGUGCCUUCUUCCUCGUUCUCGGUGAUUUGCAGGCGAGUGAUGCUGGUUCAGACUCACGGAGAGCGACACGGGAAAGCCGAGACUCUGGGAGACCGAGUGUUGGAAAGCAAAGGUCAGCCUCUCUGUGUGGGAGUCCCCCCUAACCCCUGAGUGGAGGGGCAUUAUCG
RNAcentral lists this long non-coding RNA (840 nucleotides) under Lepisosteus oculatus (spotted gar). Its description in RNAcentral is "lncRNA (ENSLOCG00000023033.1)". Lineage: Eukaryota; Metazoa; Chordata; Actinopteri; Semionotiformes; Lepisosteidae. The record is from RNAcentral.